GAUGAACGCUAGCGGGAGGCUUAAUACAUGCAAGUCGAGGGGUAACAGGGGCUUCGGCCCGCUGACGACCGGCGCACGGGUGAGUAACGCGUACGCAACUUACCUCCAAGCGAGGGAUAGCCCUGGGAAACUGGGAUUAAUACCUCAUGUGAUUAUGAUGCCGCAUGGUGUUAUAAUUAAAGUUCAGGCGCUUGGAGAUGGGCGUGCGUCCUAUUAGCUAGUUGGUGAGGUAACGGCUCACCAAGGCGACGAUAGGUAGGGGGCGUGAGAGCGUGGCCCCCCACACGGGUACUGAGACACGGACCCGACUCUACGGGAGGCAGCAGUAAGGAAUAUUGGACAAUGGGCGCAAGCCUGAUCCAGCCAUCCCGCGUGCAGGAUGACAGCCCUACGGGUUGUAAACUGCUUUUG
Molecule: ribosomal RNA, 411 nt
Filed under: uncultured bacterium
Lineage: Bacteria
Description: bacterial SSU rRNA
Rfam family: Bacterial small subunit ribosomal RNA
Source: RNAcentral